RNAcentral lists this ribosomal RNA (893 nucleotides) under Trichopeziza sp. TK-2020a. RNAcentral's name for it is "partial large subunit ribosomal RNA". It matches the Rfam family "Eukaryotic large subunit ribosomal RNA", at positions 68 to 978 of the family's 3401-position model. The record is from RNAcentral. Lineage: Eukaryota; Fungi; Ascomycota; Leotiomycetes; Helotiales; Tricladiaceae.
ACAGGGAUUACCUCAGUAACGGCGAGUGAAGCGGUAACAGCUCAAAUUUGAAAUCUGGCUCUUUUAGGGUCCGAGUUGUAAUUUGUAGAAGAUGCUUUGGGUGUGGCUCCGGUCUAAGUUCCUUGGAACAGGACGUCAUAGAGGGUGAGAAUCCCGUAUGUGACUGGGUGCUUUCGCCUAUGUAAAGCUCUUUCGACGAGUCGAGUUGUUUGGGAAUGCAGCUCAAAAUGGGUGGUAUAUUUCAUCUAAAGCUAAAUAUUGGCCAGAGACCGAUAGCGCACAAGUAGAGUGAUCGAAAGAUGAAAAGCACUUUGGAAAGAGAGUUAAACAGUACGUGAAAUUGUUGAAAGGGAAGCGCUUGCAACCAGACUCGCAUGCCGUUAAUCAUCCGGUGUUCUCACCGGUGCACUUGGCGGCGUUCGGGCCAGCAUCAGUUUGGGUGGUGGGAUAAAGGCCUUGGGAAUGUGGCUCUCUUCGGGGAGUGUUAUAGCCCUCGGUGCAAUGCCGCCUACCUGGACUGAGGACCGCGCUUCGGCUAGGAUGCUGGCGUAAUGGUUGUAAGCGACCCGUCUUGAAACACGGACCAAGGAGUCUAACAUCUAUGCGAGUGUUUGGGUGUCAAACCCAUACGCGUAAUGAAAGUGAACGGAGGUGAGAACCCUUAAGGGUGCAUCAUCGACCGAUCCUGAUGUCUUCGGAUGGAUUUGAGUAAGAGCAUAGCUGUUGGGACCCGAAAGAUGGUGAACUAUGCCUAAAUAGGGUGAAGCCAGAGGAAACUCUGGUGGAGGCUCGCAGCGGUUCUGACGUGCAAAUCGAUCGUCAAAUUUGGGUAUAGGGGCGAAAGACUAAUCGAACCAUCUAGUAGCUGGUUCCUGCCGAAUUUUCCCUCAGGA